Saccostrea cuccullata (small rock oyster) is the source of this 375-nucleotide long non-coding RNA. RefSeq lists it as uncharacterized. Lineage: Eukaryota; Metazoa; Mollusca; Bivalvia; Ostreida; Ostreidae. The transcript is spliced from 3 exons. The record is from RefSeq and is a predicted model, not a curated record.
CGGUUUGAAUACCACAUGUGUUUUCUGACUUUUGGGAGCCAACUCUUGUUUUUUUUUUGGAACUUACGACUUAUGGCAAGAGAGAAGAAAACUGUGUGACUUUAAAAGAAAACCAGUGAGAUAAAAUCAUAGAAAAUGUAUGAUGAUUCAGGAUGUGGUCAUUUGGUCCUGUUCUGUGGAUGCCCUAAGACAGUGUCUACCCAUCAUUCCAUCUGAUAUCACUUGUUCUGAGCAUAUUUCUCUCUCAAACUUAAACUACAGAGAGCCUGUGGAUAGUGGAUGAAGAGUGUCCUUGGACCAAAUUUCUAGGUCAAAGGUCAGUAUCAAAAUCUACUGUAUAUCUUUAUUUAAAAUCGUAGUCCAGAGUAUAUUUCU